CUCCGGGAGAAGCACGCCGGCACAGCGAAACCUCCUCUCCGCGCGACCGAACUCAGAUCUCGACGCCGCCGAGCUUCAGAAGGACGGCGGCUCCGGGCUCCAGGCGGGGAGGGGGUGCUUUCCGCCGCCGCGACGCAGAUCCGACCGCUGCCACGGCCGGAGGGGGAGAACUACUGAACCAGGACCGCGGAGCACCUCCGCCGCUGCUACUGACGGACACUGCUUCCUGCAACCGUGGCCCCGGCCCACUCUGUGCAGCAGGGGAGGAGGAGGUCGCCUUGCUUCGCUUUGCUUCUUCUGUCUUCCUCGUGCUGCCGGCUCCUGCUCGCCUCGUAUGCCCUCGAGAGACUAGACUCCUCGGGGUUUUAAGUUUUAACCCGACGAGUGGUGCUGGUCCUUGUCG
Molecule: unclassified non-coding RNA, 403 nt
Filed under: Zea mays
Lineage: Eukaryota; Viridiplantae; Streptophyta; Magnoliopsida; Poales; Poaceae
Description: misc RNA Zm00001eb207460
Source: RNAcentral